UGAGGUCAUAAACCAAAACCUGCAGAAGAAACACAGCGGAACCUGGAAAUACCAUCCAACACAAAACUGAGACUUUUAUUGUUGAGGCAAGCCGAAGUUGGUAGUCGAAGUCCCCGCCCUUUUGACUCUGGGCUCCCGAGUGGCGCAGCGAUCUAAGGCACUGCAUCUCAGUGCUAGAGGCAUCACUACAGACCCUGGUUCGUAUUCCAGGCUGUAUCACAACCGGCUGUGAUUCGGAGUCCAAUAGGGUAUGGAAAGCUAUGAAAGCCUGGUUUGCAGAUGAAGAGAGAGGUCCCAAUGAAUGUCCCAAUAGACUAAGGGUAUAUCCUGUAUGCCAUGGGUUAAAUGUGUAGGCCUACCUAUGUUAGCGAAUGUUGCAUACAAAAACCACACUUAAUCAUCACACACAAUAUAUAAACCUAUUCAAAUUAGAGCAGGCCAACCCUGCUGUAGCUCUGCUGUGUGUGCAGGGUUAUGUUUCAGCCCUGCAAUAACACACCUGAUUUAAACUUAUCAAAUCUAGUUGAUAAUCAAGUGUGCUAUUGCUGAGCUGGAAUAAAAGCCUGCUCGGCCAGUAGAUCUAUUGCUGGGCUGGAAUAAAAGUCUGCUCGGCCAGUAGAUCUAUUCCUGGGCUGGAAUAAAGGUCUGCUCAGCCAGUAGAUAUAUUGCUGAGCUGGAAUAAAAGUCUCCUCAGCCAGUAGAUCUAUUGCUGAGCUGGAAUAAAGGUCUGCUCAGCCAGUAGAUCUAUUGCUGAGCUGGAAUAAAAGUCUGCUCAGCCAGUAGAUCUAUUCCUGGGCUGGAACAAAGGUCUGCUCAGCCAGUAGAUCUAUUGCUGAGCUGUAAUAAAAGUCUGCUCAGCCAGUAGAUCUAUUGCUGAGCUGGAAUAAAAGUCUGCUCAGCCAGUAGAUCUAUUCCUGGGCUGGAACAAAGGUCUGCUCAGCCAGUAGAUCUAUUCCAUUGAUCAGUAGAGCGAGGUAGGUGUUUUGGAGUUUUUUAUUGUUUACCUGAAAUGAUGAUGUAGUAAUAACAGCCAACUUGUUCCUGCUCCACUAUCUAGUGUUGUUUAGACUACGAUGUCUAAUCUUUACAUACCAGUAGGCUUAUUUAUACAUUUUGAAAGUGAUAAU
This 1127-nucleotide long non-coding RNA is filed under the name Salmo salar (Atlantic salmon). Its description in RNAcentral is "lncRNA (ENSSSAG00000082041.1)". Lineage: Eukaryota; Metazoa; Chordata; Actinopteri; Salmoniformes; Salmonidae. The record is from RNAcentral.